RNAcentral lists this ribosomal RNA (544 nucleotides) under uncultured archaeon. Its description in RNAcentral is "bacterial SSU rRNA". It matches the Rfam family "Archaeal small subunit ribosomal RNA", at positions 333 to 879 of the family's 1478-position model. The record is from RNAcentral.
GCCCAGGCGCGAAACCUUUGCAAUACACGAAAGUGUGACAGGGUCAUCCCGAGUGCCGACCGCUGAGGUUGGCUUUUACCCAGUCUAGAAAGCUGGGGGAAUAAGGAGAGGGCAAGUCUGGUGUCAGCCGCCGCGGUAAUACCAGCUCUCCGAGUGGUGUGGACGUUUAUUGGGCCUAAAGCAUCCGUAGCUGGCUGAUCAAGUCCCCUGUUAAACCCACCGAUUUAAUCGUUGGCUUGCGGGGGAUACUGCUCGGCUAGGGGACGAGAGAGGCAGACGGUAUUCCCGGGGUAGGGGUGAAAUCCUAUAAUCCCGAGAAGACCACCAGUGGCGAAGGCUGUCUGCUAGAACGCGCCCGACGGUGAGGGAUGAAAGCUGGGGGAGCGAACCGGAUUAGAUACCCGGGUAGUCCCAGCUAUAAACGAUGCAGGCUAGGUGUUUGGACGGCCACGCGCCGUUCUAGUGCCGCAGGGAAGCUGUUAAGCCUGCCGCCUGGGGAGUACGAUCGCAAGAUUGAAACUUAAAGGAAUUGGCGGGGGAGCAC